This 1372-nucleotide ribosomal RNA is filed under the name uncultured bacterium. Its description in RNAcentral is "bacterial SSU rRNA". It matches the Rfam family "Bacterial small subunit ribosomal RNA", at positions 28 to 1381 of the family's 1533-position model. The record is from RNAcentral.
GAUGAACGCUGGCGGCGUGCCUAAUACAUGCAAGUCGAGCGAACGGACGAGAAGCUUGCUUCUCUGAUGUUAGCGGCGGACGGGUGAGUAACACGUGGAUAACCUACCUAUAAGACUGGGAUAACUUCGGGAAACCGGAGCUAAUACCGGAUAAUAUUUUGAACCGCAUGGUUCACAAGUGAAAGACGGUCUUGCUGUCACUUAUAGAUGGAUCCGCGCUGCAUUAGCUAGUUGGUAAGGUAACGGCUUACCAAGGCAACGAUGCAUAGCCGACCUGAGAGGGUGAUCGGCCACACUGGAACUGAGACACGGUCCAGACUCCUACGGGAGGCAGCAGUAGGGAAUCUUCCGCAAUGGGCGAAAGCCUGACGGAGCAACGCCGCGUGAGUGAUGAAGGUCUUCGGAUCGUAAAACUCUGUUAUUAGGGAAGAACAUAUGUGUAAGUAACUGUGCACAUCUUGACGGUACCUAAUCAGAAAGCCACGGCUAACUACGUGCCAGCAGCCGCGGUAAUACGUAGGUGGCAAGCGUUAUCCGGAAUUAUUGGGCGUAAAGCGCGCGUAGGCGGUUUUUUAAGUCUGAUGUGAAAGCCCACGGCUCAACCGUGGAGGGUCAUCGGAAACUGGAAAACUUGAGUGCAGAAGAGGAAAGUGGAAUUCCAUGUGUAGCGGUGAAAUGCGCAGAGAUAUGGAGGAACACCAGUGGCGAAGGCGACUUUCUGGUCUGUAACUGACGCUGAUGUGCGAAAGCGUGGGGAUCAGACAGGAUUAGAUACCCUGGUAGUCCACGCCGUAAACGAUGAGUGCUAAGUGUUAGGGGGUUUCCGCCCCUUAGUGCUGCAGCUAACGCAUUAAGCACUCCGCCUGGGGAGUACGACCGCAAGGUUGAAACUCAAAGGAAUUGACGGGGACCCGCACAAGCGGUGGAGCAUGUGGUUUAAUUCGAAGCAACGCGAAGAACCUUACCAAAUCUUGACAUCCUUUGACAACUCUAGAGAUAGAGCCUUCCCCUUCGGGGGACAAAGUGACAGGUGGUGCAUGGUUGUCGUCAGCUCGUGUCGUGAGAUGUUGGGUUAAGUCCCGCAACGAGCGCAACCCUUAAGCUUAGUUGCCAUCAUUAAGUUGGGCACUCUAAGUUGACUGCCGGUGACAAACCGGAGGAAGGUGGGGAUGACGUCAAAUCAUCAUGCCCCUUAUGAUUUGGGCUACACACGUGCUACAAUGGACAAUACAAAGGGCAGCGAAACCGCGAGGUCAAGCAAAUCCCAUAAAGUUGUUCUCAGUUCGGAUUGUAGUCUGCAACUCGACUACAUGAAGCUGGAAUCGCUAGUAAUCGUAGAUCAGCAUGCUACGGUGAAUACGUUCCCGGGUCU